GGAGGAUCCGAGCGUUAUCCGGAUUUAUUGGGUUUAAAGGGUGCGUAGGCGGCCUUUUAAGUCAGCGGUGAAAGUCUGUGGCUCAACCAUAGAAUUGCCGUUGAAACUGGGGGGCUUGAGUAUGUUUGAGGCAGGGGGAAUGCGUGGUGUAGCGGUGAAAUGCUUAGAUAUCACGCAGAACCCCGAUUGCGAAGGCAGCCUGCCAAGCCAUGACUGACGCUGAUGCACGAAAGCGUGGGGAUCAAA
This 246-nucleotide ribosomal RNA is filed under the name uncultured bacterium. RNAcentral's name for it is "partial 16S ribosomal RNA". It matches the Rfam family "Bacterial small subunit ribosomal RNA", at positions 527 to 772 of the family's 1533-position model. The record is from RNAcentral.